Molecule: long non-coding RNA, 273 nt
Organism: Juglans microcarpa x Juglans regia
Lineage: Eukaryota; Viridiplantae; Streptophyta; Magnoliopsida; Fagales; Juglandaceae
Exons: 3
Source: RefSeq, a predicted model, not a curated record
UUCGACCAGGCUGACGGACUGAAAAGAUUUAAUGCCUCGGAUCCAAACAAGCUUCUCCCUAGCAAUGUACCUGAAGGCUCUUUUAUCAUCACAGAGCACACUCCUAUGUCAAAUUUGUUCUCAUGCCUUUGGUUCAAUGAAGUUGAUUGGUUCACUCCCCGUGAUCAACUAAGUUUUGCAUAUACAUAUCAAAAGAUGAGAAGGGUGAAUCCUGGCAAACGGUUUCGCCUUAAUAUGUUCAAGGACUGUGAGAGGAGAGCCAUAGCUAAGCAA